AACUCGAAUCAUCCAUGAUACCAUGCAUGUGGAGCCUUUUACCUUAAUGGGAGAUUCAAUGACACGAUGUGGUGCAAAUGAAAAGAGACCAUUUAUUAUUAUGGAUUGCAAAACAGCUUUUCUAGUGUGUGAAGUGCUGAUAAGAGGAUUGUCCUGAUGUUCUUUCAUCGAUGGAUUAUAUAUUUGGACAUGAUGCUCUGUCAGCUGGUCUUUUAUUAGCUCCUGUACAUGUGGUUUGAUUUAACUGUUUAUUGAAAUAGCAGUAUUUUGAUGUAGGAAACUGACCGUAUUUUUACAGCAAUUGUUUUUACAGUUUACCAUGAGUAAUAGUGCAACACAUACAGCUGACAAUAAUUCUAAUACUUAUUGCAAUGACAACCAAGAAUCUCCAGAGGCAAUACAGCAAUACAUCUUACAUUCAGUUCCUAAACUAAAUUAUGCCUCAACACUUCAGCUUGAUCAUACAGGAAGUUACUUUUAACACCAUUUUUAUUCUAUACUUAGCAGCAGUUAGCGUCAAACAAGACCACAUUGUUGCUGCUAGAUGAUGCUGGUUAGUACUACUGAGUCUACUUAGGAUAAGUUUUAUUUUGUGAAGAUAUGACAGCAAAAGAGACCUGUGACAAUUUUGGCGACUGGCCUCGCUACUUCUUGUUCUGUGUCUGGGUCAUCGACAUUGCCAUGAUAUUUUUGGUUUAUCACUUGGAAACACGUUUGAAAGAGAUAACUGAAAAUUUCCUAAGGGACAGACAUGAAGAAGAGGACUAUAUCAACUACAGAACAAGCUGAAGCAAUAAUUGAACAAUUAAUGUAAAACUACUCCCAUACAAAUAUGACCGGACAAAGAAUUGACUUCUUGUAUUGGAGUGUCUUAAUAUAGACCUAUUUCAUUAAAUGAAUUUAUGUUCAUCACAUUCAAAUGUAUAAUUUGUGUGGCAGUCUGCAGUAAAUUAUAAUAAGUACAGCUUGAUAAUGUGUUGCUCAGCUUUUCUGAUAAAAAAAAUACUUUGCUUAUACUGAAAAGAUAAUACACUUGUAUAAUAUCUAAAUACAACGAUUGUAUAUAACCUUUUUUACCUGUCACAAAAAAGCCUGAGUUUCAGGUGGGUCUGGAUAUUAUCCCUAAGUAAACGCUUAAAGGAACUGUUCACUCAAAAUGUGAGAAGACUCAAUAUGUUAUUUUUGUGUAAAAAAUAAUGAUAAAAGUCUCAUCUUCUUUUGUUGACACCUGUGAAGGAUUUUUUUAAUUAAUCAUAACAUUUCUUUUUCUUGCAGUCUUAACAUGUGUAUGCUUUUGAGUACUAAAUGUCCCCAACACUUAAUUUUUAUCCAUGUGUUGCAAUAAAAAGAUGCUGAUGCUGGCCAAA
Long non-coding RNA from Cyprinus carpio (common carp), 1367 nucleotides. RefSeq lists it as uncharacterized. Lineage: Eukaryota; Metazoa; Chordata; Actinopteri; Cypriniformes; Cyprinidae. The record is from RefSeq and is a predicted model, not a curated record.